UUUUUUUGUCGACCUACUGCC
This 21-nucleotide non-coding RNA is filed under the name Caenorhabditis elegans. The record is from RNAcentral. Lineage: Eukaryota; Metazoa; Nematoda; Chromadorea; Rhabditida; Rhabditidae.